Molecule: ribosomal RNA, 1767 nt
Filed under: Microglomus paxillus
Lineage: Eukaryota; Evosea; Variosea; Protosteliida; Protosteliaceae
Description: partial small subunit ribosomal RNA
Rfam family: Eukaryotic small subunit ribosomal RNA
Source: RNAcentral
GGAACCUGGUUGAUCCUGCCAGUAGUCAUAUGCUUGUCUCGAAGAUUAAGCCAUGCAUGUCUUAGUGUAAACCUUAGUACGGUAGAACUGCGAGAAGCUCCUUAAAAGAGUUGUAAUCUACGAUUUUCCUUCAUCCUAUAUGGAUAACCACGGGAAACCGAGGCUAAUACAUGUACAUCAUUUUAUGUCUUCGGAAAUAAAAUGAUGCCAACGGCAGACUGAAUCCUUUACCGGUGGAAGUCCAAGUUGGGAGUGACCGUUCAAGCGAAUGGCGAAAUUCAUGAGCAACUCACCUAUCAGCUAGUUGGUAGGGUAAUGGCCUACCAAGGCGAUGACGGGUAACAGAGGAUUAGGGUCCGAUCCUGGAGAAGGAGCCUUAGAGACAGCUGCUACUUCUAAGGAUGGCAGCAGGCGCGCAAAUUACCCCAUGCUAAUUCAGUGAGGUAGUAAAGAGACAUACCGGCAUAUUGUUCUCCUCACGGAGUCGAUAUGAUUGGAAUGAACGUAAUGUAUAAAGCUCGAUGAGUAACUAUUAGAGGACAAGUCUUGGUGCCAGCACCCGCGGUAAUUCCAGCUCUAAGAGCAUAUAUUAAAAUUGCUGCACUUAAAAAGCUCGUAGCCUGAUUUAGGUCAUAAUUUUGUAUUAGUUGAUUUUCUGUCUUCGGAUAGAAAUGAGACGAAAUACUAUCCAAAUUAUGUUCCUCCUUACUUACACUCACAUCUGGUCUUAACUGAUUGAAUGUAGCCGAUGAGUAAAAGGGUAAAACCGAUGAAAGUCUGAGUUGUAUAGUAAACCUACCUUGAAUAAACUAGUGUGUCCAUUGCAAGCCUGAAAGCCUGUUGAAUAAUCAGCAUGGUAUAGGGUUAAUCGGCUCUCGCUGCGUGUUUUUAGGAAUUUCGGAAGCGUUGAGCCACGAUCGACGGGGGUGGUCGGGGGCAUGAGUACUUGAGCGCGAGGGGUGAAAUCCGUAGACCGUUCAAAGACUACCAGAAGCGAAAGCGCUUGCCUAGUACAUCUCGCUCGGUCAAGAACGAAAGUUGGGGGAUCGAAGACGAUCAGAUACCGUCGUAGUCCCAACCGUAAACGAUACUGCCCAAUCCCUUGAUAUAUAUUUCCGAAGUCGGAAUUGUUAAAGGCCUUAUGAGAAAUCUUGAGGUACUGAGUUGUGGGGGGAGUAUGGUCGCAAGACUGAAACUUAAAGGAAUUGACGGAAAGGCACACCAGGAGUGGAAUCUGCGGCUUAAUUCGACCCAACACGGGGAAACUUACUAGGUCCAGAACAUUUAGUGAUUGACAGAUUUGAGAUCUUUCUAGAUUAGUGUGUUGGUGGUGCAUGGCCGUUCUUAGUUGGUGGAGUGAUUUGUCUGGUUGAUUCCGAUAACGAACGAGACCUUAGUCUAUUAGUUGGCCGCUAUAGAAAUAUGCAGUAAAAAGAUAAUCGUGUAGUACUCUAUACUUUUAUCCAUGCAUUUCUACUGAACCUUCCUAAGGAGAUAGGUGAGUACAGAGAUAAUCCAAGUCACAAGAAAUUUAAGGCAAUAACAGGUCUGUGAUGCCCUUCGAUGUCCUAGGCUGCACGCGCAUUACAAUGAAGGAGGUAGAUAGCUGCUUACUACUACCAUAAUCAAAUAGAGCAUAUUAUGGCAAUCUUAGGCUAGCUCUAAACAGGGAUUGUACAUUGUAAUUUGUACAUAAACGAGGAAUUCCUAGUAUGCGUAAAUCACCAAUUUGCGCAGAUUACGUCCCUGCCUUUUGUACACACCGCC